UGCAGUCAACUUGCGAUGGCAGGCAGUAGCUUGGAGCUCAUUCAUCAGGCAUCAAAAUAAUUUUAGUCUCCCCCAAUCAAUUAGGACUUAAGUUCCUCCUCCAGUGCAGUACGGAACUUCAUGUAGGUAUAUCAUACUGAAACAACAAUUCAACAACAGAACUUCAAUAAUUUAUGCUAGUUUAAACCAUAAUUACCGACAUAAAGAACACGCAACUGCAGGUAACAGGUUGCUGACAUUUGUCUUUCUUUUAAAGAAAACGCGCAUGAUGAAUUCUGUUUAGUUCAAUGGAGUGCAAGAAUCUAGUUGUCAAGAAGCACAAUAAUCUAAUGGAUUGACAACAAACGAUGAGCAUCUUUUGGACGUCAUACAACAAUAAUGUUACUAAACAAAAGUGGAUCACCAAUGGUAGAAAUUCAUGCAUAAGACUAUUAGUUAGUUCUUACUUCUUACAUCAAACGCAAAUCGUCAAACUUCACUACGUCCAUACCAGCCAAAUAAAGAUCCGGUUCAAAUUUAAGCUUGUCAAGAAAGUAGAGCGUUACACCAAUUACCAGAAAGACUACCUUAGUAGCUUAAGGUCACUUUGGUGAUCUCUGUUGCUCUGAAGGGAAAAAGAAAGGCAUUCAGCAUGAUAAUAGUAUAUAUGUACAUUGCUUUGAGGGAAAAACAGAGAGAUAAUUGCAGACUAAUUUUACAACUGGGCUAACAAAUGCAUGGAAUGCAUAUAUGCAGAUAGGGACCCUGGACUAGAACAAAUACUCGCUGGUAUUGCCACCAGAGAAUGCGUAUACAUUAUACUUCAUCUACAAUUUGCAAAAACCAUAGGAGGUUUUGUUGUCUGGCAUGAUGAUUCUGUGUCAGAGACAAACUUAAUCAUGUGAUGACUCCAACAAGAGAUAAUGACACAAGCAUAAGCUGACUAAAACGACAAGAGUGAUUCAAAGCAGCCAACAAACCUAUAAAUCUUUCACCUUUUUAAAUUUUUCUCCUAGGGUAAGGAUGCAUUUUGUUUUUUCAGUAAAAAAUUGUGGCAGAUCAAUUCAACAACAACAACAUUUCUAUCACGAGUCGAUAUAUGCAUGCAGUAUGCAUUUGCAGACAUGCUUGCAUGUAUGCACAGCCAAGGACCUAAAAUUGCUAGAUGCUUGUGUUUUGAGAAUCUGUAAAUUUCACAUGUUUGAAUGAAGUGUAUGACAUCUGGCAUGAUGUUUCCUUGAUCUUGACAGUCUUGAUUCAGGUGAAAAUUAAGGAGGUAAAGAAACUCAAAUAUAAGAAACAACUGCAAAUGGAUAUUACAAGUGCUAAUGAAGUAUGCUAUUAUGUAAGCACUGGCCCGAUGUUUUCAAUCCCAAAGCUCACAAUAAUACAAAAGGCUAUUCUGCUCCCAGAAAUAAAAUACCUUGUGCAUAAGAAGAAAGAUUCCAUCAAUAUUGCACAGAGAUACAAAGCUUUCAGCUGAAAUGUCAACAAUACCAACAACUGGGGAUUAAAAUAUGCAUUUACCAGUAAGCCUCAUAUGUGCACUGCCUAUAAAGCUAAGGCAGGUGAAAGAUGGCAUAAACAUACAACAAAGGCAAAGUAUCAGAUAUGGCUGAUCCAUCAUGUGAUGAUAGUGGCAAAGGAGUGAAAGUUAUGAAAUCAGAAGAUGCUUUGGAAGGACGAAAAUUAUCAUGGGGAAAGCUUCGUCGCAUUGACUCACUGAAUUUGGAGGCAGGGAGAGUCUCAAACAUUCAAACCCAUGGUGCUCAGGUAUGAACUUUCUAUUGUGUCCAACUUUCAUAUAAUAUCCUCAUGAGAUAAAGCAUAAUUCUUUGCAUAUUGAUCAUAUAUGCAACUGGAGCAUGAGUAAAAGCUUAACAACUAAUUUGACAGGGCAGAUGAUUUUGAUGAGAAACAACUAUAUCUACUUUCUUUAGGAGGCAUUGAUAAGCUUUGCUUCUGAUAGCCUUGCAUAAAUUCUCAUCUUGGACAAUCAAUAUGUUGUUGAUAUCAUCUAACAGCAGCAUUAAUGAUAGACUUUGUCAAGUUUCACAAAGUAGAAACAAAUUUAUGCUGUUCAUCAACAUUAAGGCUUGCUACUUUGCGAAAGAUAAUCAAGAAGGUAUAAAAAUGUUUUCAACAGUGAAAAGAAUAAAAAUUUUAGAGAAGAAAUCGUCUGUCUGUCUACUCUUUCAAAUUCCUAGAUGGAUGGAGAUGCUCAUAAAUGCCUGCCUUGUAUUUUUUAAGCAACUCCUUGUAAUGUUUAACUUCUGAAGCAGAUGGGUUCGAGCAGGACACUGCUUCUAGCAUUCCAGAGCAUUGGGGUGGUGUACGGGGACAUUGGGACAUCACCACUAUAUGUCUAUGCAAGCACCUUUACAGAUGGGAUCAAAGAAACAGAAGACCUCUUGGGUGUCCUGUCUCUCAUUCUCUACACUUUGAUUCUCAUACCUCUGCUCAAGUAUGUCCUCACUGUCCUGUGGGCUAAUGAUAAUGGCGAUGGUAAGUCUAUCUCUCCAGCUAUUGUCUGGAUAGAUUUCACAGUAUACCUUAAGAUAGUGAGAAUGGUACAACAAUAAAAAGCAAAAAUAAUUUUGAGAACUGCAUGCAAAGAAUUCUUCUAGUCACUACAAAUGUUACACUCAUGUUGAAGACACUGCAACAUGACCGAAGUCAUCAGAAGAAGGCAAGAACUUCACUAAUAACUAAUAACUAGAACAGUCUAUAAAGAUUAUUAUUUUGUUGACAAGUGAUUACACAUCUUACCAGGGAUUAAGAUAUUGCCUAUACCAGUCCUACACUGCUCAGUGCACACCAUGCCGGUUAGUGACCGGUACAUUGCACUUUUCACGAUGGUUCGACAGAUGAACCAACCUUGUACUGACCCAUUCAGACCUGUGUCAACCUUGUAACUCUCUGUACUAUUUGGUAUAUCUUUUUACACUUUCUUUCUUUCUUCGCUCAUUUCAGCUACUCCAUAAUGUCCUCUGCAGAUGCCAUAGCACCCCUUUACAGCGGUGUAUAAUGUACCAGUUGGUGAGUGGUACUUGUCUAUACCUUAAUAUUUUAAAUCCUCGUUCGAUCCUAUAAACUCCAAAAUACCAUUCACCUUUGCCUUGACUCUUCUUUUGGUUUGUUAUUUCUCCUAUAAUUCUGUUUCAUAAUAGUGGCCUUGAGCAUGAACUUCUACUGUAGCAAAUCACCUGGACAAAAAAUUUUUAGGCAUAUCUUGUUUCUUCUAGGGCAAUAUUACUGGCUCACUUGUUAUUCACUUUUCCACUACCUUACCGACUGAACACAUCCACAUAAGACAUGAUUAAAAUCCAUAUUCUUGCUUAGGAAGGAGGUGAAGAAGCAUUAGAUUUACGUGUGAUGCUUCUAACUGCUCAGGAGAACAAUUGCUAGGCAUAGUUCUUCCAACUCUGGAAAAUCUUCUCUCAUGGCAGAUUCAGUUUGUAGAAACAAGUUUGUUUAUAAAAGAAACAAGCACAUAUAAUGACAAUAAAAACAGACAGAGAUGACAUUUCGACCAUUUAAACUCAUCAAUCUUAACUUGAUCAAAAUAAUCUUAUAGGAGGGACGUUUGCGCUUUACUCUCUGAUAUCUCGGUAUGCAAACGUGAGCUUGAUUCCAAAUCAACAAGCUGAAGAUGCAAUGGUCUCAAACUACAAAUUAGAGACACCAUCAACCAGAAUGAAGAGGGCUCAGUGGGUUAAAGAAAAACUGGAGGGCAGUACAGUGGCUAAGGUUGUGCUUUUCUUCAUCACAAUCCUAGGGACUUCAAUGGUUCUCGGUGAUGGAGUCUUAACUCCAUCCAUUUCAGGUGAAUAAGACAAACUAAUUGAAUUUAUUCAAGUAAUACAUGCAAAUGUUUUGGACUAAAACUUUCAAAAAUAAUGGUAACCAGAAAAUUGAACAUAGAGAUUUUUAAAGCUAUCAAAUAUAUGGUUGACUGACGUUCUUACCUACAUACUUUAGUAAAACUACUUUUUAUCCUCUCUUUUCUCUUCUUAUAACGAGACAUUCUAGGAAAUCUGAUGGCCAGUAUCAGGCCAUUAUAGAUUAAUAACUUGCCGUCAACAGAAACCAAUUGAUUUUUUUGGGUGUUUUGCAGUGCUAUCUGCUGUGAGUGGAAUCAAGGAGAAAGCAACCUCCCUGACUGAAGGUACAUACUAUGUAAAUAAAUACACCAGUACACCACACUCUCAUGUUGCUAAAUAAGUUUGAGAAGCAUACCUAGUGAACCAUAGCAAAUUGCAUCACCACGACAGGACUUGGUUUGCAAUUGUCAGAUGUAUUAGAGUUUUCAAAGAACAAGAAUCUAAGAGGUUACUGACAGAAAGCCCAUUUAUUCAUGUCAUGGAAGUACCUAAACAUGUUUAUUUUCAUUUUAUGGCUAUCGGGAGCAAUUAAAGAAUUACAUACCUUCAAAGCCAAGCAAAUUGAUCUAGUGAAAGCUCCAUCCGUGCACUCAAACAACAGAUGAGUUAUAAAUUAAAUAGCAGCUCAAUGAUUUAUGGUGACAUAUCAUCUUAUUAUGCAAAGAAAAAAAAGAUUAUUCAACUAUUAUAUGCCAAUCAUUCAAUCAAGAUGGUAUAGAAUGUGGAAUUUCAUACGGGUCAGUAAGGCUUACUGCUCGAUAUGUACCACCUGUACUGGCCUAUAUCAUUGUACCAUGUUGGUGUGCCUGCCUUGCCUCCUGGUGCCUUGUGCUUGUAUGUAGGCAUAUGCGGUAUGUGGCGCAUUAGUCAUUAGCAAGCAAGGAUCCAUAUCUUAUUAUUUAAACCUUAUCGAGAGGCAGUCAAAAUGUACCAAUAUAACAGAAUCUAAAAGAGGUCCAAAAAUAUAACAUGCGAGUCCUCUAAUUAUAGGCAUUUGUUAACAAAAUUAACUAUAGGCACAGAAUUCUAGACUUGUGGAUGUCAUAAGUAGGCUACGCUGAAAUCUCUCAAUAGGUAAAACUAAAUGCUUAAAGCACAUAAGAAGCAACUGGGAACUAUAUGACCUACAAUUGGGCCCUAGAGAUGGAUGUCAUUCCAAAUCUUGCAUUCAUUUCUUCUUCAACUAGAUCUUUUUCCAAGGAGGAAUCUUGAAGAGUUGCUUGCCAAUUGUGUGAGCUUAAAGUGCACAAGAUCUCUCUUUUUGCCAACUAGCCAUCUGGUUUUCAAAUUCAGGAAUUGGACAGCAAUUCAUGGGUCCAAUUCAUAGAAGCCUUAUGUCAGAUUGAGAGUUAGUCAAUGGAUGUUCAUGAAAUUAAAUGAACCAUAACAUGAUAGAUAAAGGAGAGCAAAUGCAGUUAAGAUGUUCUUUCGGGUUAAAGAAAGUGAUCGUGGAAUUUAGAGCAUAUGACAGGCUUAUGGCAUUUAAGACUUUGCAUCCAAAUUAGUUAUCUUUAAAAUCCUCAAGCUUUAAAAAAAAAUUAAAAAUUAAAAAUUAAAAAAAUAAAAAAAAAAAAACACAAGAGAUAGCUAAGAUUAAUCAACCCUACAGGACCCUCUAGCUUUAAGUUUCACAACUGUCCAAGCGGUCAUUUCCUUUUUUUUCCAAAAUACCCCUGCCUCUCUUCUUUCCCACAGUGUUUGCUUGGUCAAUGGAAUUAUUGGAAGGAUGAGAGCUUUUGCUUAUGAUUCAAUGCUUGUUUCUAGAACCAGGAAAAUAAAAUUAAAAUUAAAAUGGAUGAGUCCUUAAAGAGUAAUAUGAAGGAUUUCAUAUUAAGGUGCAUCAUAAUUGGAUCAGAGGAAUUUGUCCAGCAAUCUGCACUAUUUUUUUUUGAAAAGUAAGUGAAAAUCAUUUACUAAAUAAAGGACACAGUAGGACAAACCUUAAGUUCUAUUGUCUGCUUACCCAAGCUAUCAUCAUUGAUAAUAGGAACAAAUGUCAUGGCUAGGACAGAUAAUUACAGAUAAGCAACAACUAGAUAUUCUCUUGGGGUACUCUUUUUUUUUUUUUUUCCGGUAAAGGCAAGAUUCAUUUAUAAGGAACUCUUAGUACAACCCAAAACAGUCUUCCCUACUGGUAACAUAUAACAAAAAACCCAGUAGGGUGAUAGAGACACAAGAGGCAGCAAGAAAAAAUAUUGACUGAGGGAGUAAAUACAAAUACAUGUAACAAAGUAGGAGUGACCAGAUAUUAUAGUAGGAAAAGACCUGCUGAACAGCUGAAUGAAGAUUGCACCACAGCAGGAGAAGAUGAAAACCACCAGAUGUCACAGUAAGCUGCACUUUUAAGGCCAAGAAUAGCGUCAUACAGCAAACAGUCCAGAUGAGAGGCAGCGUCAGAUACAGAAGGAAGAAGUUCC
This 6280-nucleotide long non-coding RNA is filed under the name Elaeis guineensis (African oil palm). RNAcentral describes it as "long non-coding RNA (EGUI_LNC019572)". Lineage: Eukaryota; Viridiplantae; Streptophyta; Magnoliopsida; Arecales; Arecaceae. The record is from RNAcentral.